Molecule: long non-coding RNA, 109 nt
Organism: Lynx canadensis (Canada lynx)
Lineage: Eukaryota; Metazoa; Chordata; Mammalia; Carnivora; Felidae
Exons: 3
Source: RefSeq, a predicted model, not a curated record
UAAGCAUCUGACUUCGGCUCAGGUCAUGAUCUCUCAGUUAGUGGGUUCGAGCCCCAGGUCGGGCUCUGUGCUGACGGCUCAGAGCCUGGAGCCUGUUUCAGAUUCUGUG